AAGGACGUGCUAAUCUGCGAUAAGCGUCGGUAAGGUGAUAUGAACCGUUAUAACCGGCGAUUUCCGAAUGGGGAAACCCAGUGUGAUUCGUCACACUAUCAUUAACUGAAUCCAUAGGUUAAUGAGGCGAACCGGGGGAACUGAAACAUCUAAGUACCCCGAGGAAAAGAAAUCAACCGAGAUUCCCCCAGUAGCGGCGAGCGAACGGGGAGCAGCCCAGAGCCUGAAUCAGUGUGUGUGUUAGUGGAAGCGUCUGGAAAGGCGUGCGAUACAGGGUGACAGCCCCGUACACAAAAAUGCACAUACUGUGAGCUCGAUGAGUAGGGCGGGACACGUGGUAUCCUGUCUGAAUAUGGGGGGACCAUCCUCCAAGGCUAAAUACUCCUGACUGACCGAUAGUGAACCAGUACCGUGAGGGAAAGGCGAAAAGAACCCCGGCGAGGGGAGUGAAAAAGAACCUGAAACCGUGUACGUACAAGCAGUGGGAGCACGCUUAGGCGUGUGACUGCGUACCUUUUGUAUAAUGGGUCAGCGACUUAUAUUCUGUAGCAAGGUUAACCGAAUAGGGGAGCCGAAGGGAAACCGAGUCUUAACUGGGCGUUAAGUUGCAGGGUAUAGACCCGAAACCCGGUGAUCUAGCCAUGGGCAGGUUGAAGGUUGGGUAACACUAACUGGAGGACCGAACCGACUAAUGUUGAAAAAUUAGCGGAUGACUUGUGGCUGGGGGUGAAAGGCCAAUCAAACCGGGAGAUAGCUGGUUCUCCCCGAAAGCUAUUUAGGUAGCGCCUCGUGAAUUCAUCUCCGGGGGUAGAGCACUGUUUCGGCAAGGGGGUCAUCCCGACUUACCAACCCGAUGCAAACUGCGAAUACCGGAGAAUGUUAUCACGGGAGACACACGGCGGGUGCUAACGUCCGUCGUGAAGAGGGAAACAACCCAGACCGCCAGCUAAGGUCCCAAAGUCAUGGUUAAGUGGGAAACGAUGUGGGAAGGCCCAGACAGCCAGGAUGUUGGCUUAGAAGCAGCCAUCAUUUAAAGAAAGCGUAAUAGCUCACUGGUCGAGUCGGCCUGCGCGGAAGAUGUAACGGGGCUAAACCAUGCACCGAAGCUGCGGCAGCGACGCUUAUGCGUUGUUGGGUAGGGGAGCGUUCUGUAAGCCUGUGAAGGUGUGCUGUGAGGUAUGCUGGAGGUAUCAGAAGUGCGAAUGCUGACAUAAGUAACGAUAAAGCGGGUGAAAAGCCCGCUCGCCGGAAGACCAAGGGUUCCUGUCCAACGUUAAUCGGGGCAGGGUGAGUCGACCCCUAAGGCGAGGCCGAAAGGCGUAGUCGAUGGGAAACAGGUUAAUAUUCCUGUACUUGGUGUUACUGCGAAGGGGGGACGGAGAAGGCUAUGUUGGCCGGGCGACGGUUGUCCCGGUUUAAGCGUGUAGGCUGGUUUUCCAGGCAAAUCCGGAAAAUCAAGGCCGAG
Molecule: ribosomal RNA, 1465 nt
Filed under: Shigella flexneri
Lineage: Bacteria; Pseudomonadati; Pseudomonadota; Gammaproteobacteria; Enterobacterales; Enterobacteriaceae
Description: partial 23S ribosomal RNA
Rfam family: Bacterial large subunit ribosomal RNA
Source: RNAcentral